This is a long non-coding RNA of Homo sapiens (human), 157 nucleotides long. The record is from Ensembl. NCBI's taxonomy places the organism in Eukaryota, Metazoa, Chordata, Mammalia, Primates, Hominidae.
AAUUCUGAGUACCUGCCAUAUAGAAGUACUGAAAAACUAUUUGGUAAAUAUGUGAAAAAAUGAAGUAAACCAGCAGAAUGGUCUUUUUCAUGUACAAUUUUAUUUUUUAUUCUAUUUUAGAUGCUAAAGCUGUAAAUUGGCAACUUGUUUUUCUUUU